UGACAUUGACGUAAUACAGUUGUAUGC
RNAcentral lists this non-coding RNA (27 nucleotides) under Rattus norvegicus (Norway rat). The record is from RNAcentral. Lineage: Eukaryota; Metazoa; Chordata; Mammalia; Rodentia; Muridae.